CGGUAAUGUUCUUCUGUUUGCCUCUUUUCAUUUUGUUUUUACUAUAUAUAUACACAAGGUGAUUGUUUUGUUAUAAAUACUGCACAAAUAUUGUGGCGAAAUGCUACUUUCCGAAUACAGUGAGUGGUUGAGUUCUGCAGUUUAUUUUGAGCUAUUUCUGACACUUUCUUUGAUUAUACGGGUGUCAGUGGUAUUGUUUUCAUUUUGAAAUGUAAUUCUGGAGUCCCAACACCAAACCGUAUUAGAUUUUUCUUGACAGAGAGUGGUUAGUCCUGCCAAGGUUUCAUGAUUUUCUCACUUUACUGUGACAUGUCAUCACUGUACUAAAGCUGCUUUGGGGAUAAGGAUGCUUGACCAAGUACCACACCCUUGCUAUGAAUAUUUCAUAAAUAGAUCAAAAACAGUCUUGAGGUCAUCAGAGAUGAUGUUCUUCUGUUUGCCUCUUUUGAUUUGGUUUGAUUUGUUUGUGCUCAACAUAUUAUUCAGUGAGCUUAUUUACUUUUCAAUGCUUACAUUGAUAAUGUGUUGUGGAUUUUGUAGGAGGAAAACUUGGAAGAGGUCAUUGCACUUACUGUGAUAUAACUGUUAAAUUGUUUGUCUCACACAUAUCUUUCAGAUGCAAAGGAUAAUACUGACAUUAUGAAUUUUGUUACUGGCCCCGCCCAGGGAGCAAGCGUAUGUGACAUUUUCAUUGUAUUAGAUUGUGUUGAUCCUACUAUUUCUAGCAAUUUAAGGCAUCCCAUGAUGCACCAUUUUGCAGGGAUAGGUUUUUUUCGGACUUACCCUUAAGUUUUCUUCAAUGCAAUGAUUAAAUGAACUUGUUCUUUGUCUAAUUUCAGUAUUUCUUCCAUAUUAAAUUUAGCUGCCUUACUCACUUGUUCAGGUCAUUUUUGCUGAUUUUAUGGUAAUCUGUGAUCGGUUCCAUGAGAUUUAGAAAGUGAUGCAGGGACGCCUUAAAUCAUGCUCAACAAGCUGCUAGAGUGUUCAAAAACAGAAGCAGCCUGCGGUCUACCCUAUUGGAAGCACCAUCCGUUCUUCAACCCAACUACGAGUGGAUGAGUGUCAUUGACUCGAGGGCCUGCUGGAACAUUGGAAAUGGGCAAAGGGUGAAAAUGUUGGGUGACAACUGGUUCCUGGGUCAGGCUGAGUUUGAAGUGUGGAGUCCUGCCUCAACCCUAGUGAUUCGGUUAAUCGAAGAUGACGCAAACAAUGGAAAUUCAAACACGCUUACCGUUAAUGAAUGAAAUGAUUGAGCUUGGUGAGAUGCGGUUAGAACUGUUUCGUCUCAUUAACAACACCCAAGAAGCCAUUGAUGCUGAAAGAACGAGGAAAAUCGCAAUCUUGAUGUCAUUUAGAUAGUAACUAACAACUUUUUAUUCAUUUCAAAUUGAUUUUAAUGUUAUUUUGAAUCUAUGCUUGUGUCAUGAUGAGUAGGAUGAAACUCCUUCUUCAGGUAAUGUAUCUGUCUUUUUGCACUUACUGUGUGAUCUAACAAUCAAAUUAUUUGUCCCACUCAUUUCUUACAUACGAUAAUCACGUUGCAGUUUAGGUCCUAUACAUUGCAUUCAUACAAAGUAACUUGAAAUAGAAAGAUAUUUAGUAUGUUGUUCUUUUUCCUUUUUCACAGACUUGCCAUAAAGGUUAUUGUCACUCUUUUAUGCUUAUAAUUCCAUCAUGUCUUGCUAAUUUCUUUACUCUAAAACGUUACUCUUAGUGUCUUUUCAUGUCACA
This is a long non-coding RNA of Lathyrus oleraceus (garden pea), 1731 nucleotides long. RefSeq lists it as uncharacterized. The transcript has 4 exons. Lineage: Eukaryota; Viridiplantae; Streptophyta; Magnoliopsida; Fabales; Fabaceae. The record is from RefSeq and is a predicted model, not a curated record.